UGCUGCUUUGCUGACGAGUGGCGGACGGGUGAGUAAUGUCUGGGAAACUGCCUGAUGGAGGGGGAUAACUACUGGAAACGGUAGCUAAUACCGCAUAACGUCGCAAGACCAAAGAGGGGGACCUUCGGGCCUCUUGCCAUCGGAUGUGCCCAGAUGGGAUUAGCUAGUAGGUGGGGUAACGGCUCACCUAGGCGACGAUCCCUAGCUGGUCUGAGAGGAUGACCAGCCACACUGGAACUGAGACACGGUCCAGACUCCUACGGGAGGCAGCAGUGGGGAAUAUUGCACAAUGGGCGCAAGCCUGAUGCAGCCAUGCCGCGUGUAUGAAGAAGGCCUUCGGGUUGUAAAGUACUUUCAGCGGGGAGGAAGGGAGUAAAGUUAAUACCUUUGCUCAUUGACGUUACCCGCAGAAGAAGCACCGGCUAACUCCGUGCCAGCAGCCGCGGUAAUACGGAGGGUGCAAGCGUUAAUCGGAAUUACUGGGCGUAAAGCGCACGCAGGCGGUUUGUUAAGUCAGAUGUGAAAUCCCCGGGCUCAACCUGGGAACUGCAUCUGAUACUGGCAAGCUUGAGUCUCGUAGAGGGGGGUAGAAUUCCAGGUGUAGCGGUGAAAUGCGUAGAGAUCUGGAGGAAUACCGGUGGCGAAGGCGGCCCCCUGGACGAAGACUGACGCUCAUGUGCGAAAGCGUGGGGAGCAAACAGGAUUAUAUACCCUGAUAGUCCACGCCGUAAACGAUGUCGACUUGGAGGGUUGUGCCCUUGAGGCGUGGCU
RNAcentral lists this ribosomal RNA (771 nucleotides) under Alkalidesulfovibrio alkalitolerans. Its description in RNAcentral is "bacterial SSU rRNA". It matches the Rfam family "Bacterial small subunit ribosomal RNA", at positions 78 to 844 of the family's 1533-position model. The record is from RNAcentral. Lineage: Bacteria; Pseudomonadati; Thermodesulfobacteriota; Desulfovibrionia; Desulfovibrionales; Desulfovibrionaceae.